This 787-nucleotide ribosomal RNA is filed under the name Bacillus sp. MJ325. RNAcentral's name for it is "bacterial SSU rRNA". It matches the Rfam family "Bacterial small subunit ribosomal RNA", at positions 61 to 827 of the family's 1533-position model. The record is from RNAcentral. Lineage: Bacteria; Bacillati; Bacillota; Bacilli; Caryophanales; Bacillaceae.
GUCGAGCGGAGUUUUGAAAAGCUUGCUUUUCAAAACUUAGCGGCGGACGGGUGAGUAACACGUGGGCAACCUGCCCUUGAGACGGGGAUAACUCCGGGAAACCGGAGCUAAUACCGGAUAACACAUAUCUUCGCAUGAAGAUAUGUUAGAAGGUGGCUUUUAGCUACCACUCAAGGAUGGGCCCGCGGCGCAUUAGCUAGUUGGUGAGGUAACGGCUCACCAAGGCGACGAUGCGUAGCCGACCUGAGAGGGUGAUCGGCCACACUGGGACUGAGACACGGCCCAGACUCCUACGGGAGGCAGCAGUAGGGAAUCUUCCGCAAUGGACGAAAGUCUGACGGAGCAACGCCGCGUGAGUGAUGAAGGUUUUCGGAUCGUAAAGCUCUGUUGUUAGGGAAGAACAAGUACCUGUUGAAUAAGCAGGUACCUUGACGGUACCUAACCAGAAAGCCACGGCUAACUACGUGCCAGCAGCCGCGGUAAUACGUAGGUGGCAAGCGUUGUCCGGAAUUAUUGGGCGUAAAGCGCGCGCAGGCGGUUCCUUAAGUCUGAUGUGAAAGCCCACGGCUCAACCGUGGAGGGUCAUUGGAAACUGGGGAACUUGAGUGCAGAAGAGGAGAGCGGAAUUCCACGUGUAGCGGUGAAAUGCGUAGAGAUGUGGAGGAACACCAGUGGCGAAGGCGGCUCUCUGGUCUGUAACUGACGCUGAGGCGCGAAAGCGUGGGGAGCGAACAGGAUUAGAUACCCUGGUAGUCCACGCCGUAAACGAUGAGUGCUAAGUGUUAGA